Molecule: ribosomal RNA, 253 nt
Filed under: uncultured bacterium
Lineage: Bacteria
Description: partial 16S ribosomal RNA
Rfam family: Bacterial small subunit ribosomal RNA
Source: RNAcentral
UACGUAGGGGGCUAGCGUUGUCCGGAAUCAUUGGGCGUAAAGCGCACGUAGGCGGCCUCAUAAGUCGGAUGUGAAAUCCCUCGGCUCAACCGAGGAAGUGCAUCCGAAACUGCGAGGCUCGAGUAUGGAAGAGGGUCGCAGAAUUCCCGGUGUAGCGGUGAAAUGCGUAGAUAUCGGGAGGAACAUCAGUGGCGAAGGCGGCCCUCUGGGCCAGUACUGACACUCAAGUGCGAAAGCGUGGGGAGCAAACAGG